This 254-nucleotide ribosomal RNA is filed under the name uncultured bacterium. RNAcentral's name for it is "partial 16S ribosomal RNA". It matches the Rfam family "Bacterial small subunit ribosomal RNA", at positions 524 to 776 of the family's 1533-position model. The record is from RNAcentral.
UACAGAGGUGCCGAGCGUUAGGCGGAAUCACUGGGCUUAAAGCGCGUGUAGGCGGGUCGUUAAGUGUCCGCGUGAAAUCCCUCGGCUCAACCGGGGCACUGCGUCUGAGACUGAAUGGCUUGAAUCCGGGAGAGGGAUGCGGAAUUCCAGGUGUAGCGGUGAAAUGCGUAGAUAUCUGGAGGAACACCGGUGGCGAAGGCGGCAUCCUGGACCGGUAUUGACGCUGAGGAGCGAAAGCCAGGGGAGCAAACGGG